UGAUUCAGGUACACCACCUUGUUGCAUGAUCUCGUCAGAUCUCAGAAGCUAAGCAGGGGUGAGGCUGGUUUAUACUUGGAUAGU
RNAcentral lists this ribosomal RNA (84 nucleotides) under Periophthalmus magnuspinnatus. The record is from RNAcentral. Lineage: Eukaryota; Metazoa; Chordata; Actinopteri; Gobiiformes; Gobiidae.